Gasterosteus aculeatus aculeatus (three-spined stickleback) is the source of this 3490-nucleotide long non-coding RNA. Lineage: Eukaryota; Metazoa; Chordata; Actinopteri; Perciformes; Gasterosteidae. The record is from Ensembl.
CCUACAUAAUCAUGUCGGGGGGGUUAUUCAGAUAAUUCACAGUGAGAUUACCAUGAGCUCAUUAAAGUGCACGAACCCUCUGUUGGGCUUUUUACUGCAUGAAAACAAUUGAUUACUUAAAAAACGGUCCCACCCUUUCCUAAAAGCACACGAGUGUGUAUAUAGGCUGCUACCAACAGCUCACAUACACCCUGAAUAGGAAGCACAUCUCUCUGACGGACACAAUCUUUUUUUUGAAGGAGGAUAUCGCUUGCUGGACUUACAGAAGUGCAACAAGAUCGGUCAUUGUUAUCUGUGGAGAAACAUGGGAAACGAGAACUCCAAGAACAAAGAACUGCAGAACAGGAACGGCAGGAUUCCUGAGAAGCAUAUAAAUGGAUCAGCGAACGGCCUCUCUGCGAACCUCUCAUCUAACGGCUUGGAGAUUUCUGCUAACGACGGUAAAGCUGCUGACGCUCCAGUUAUUUCUGAAAUCCUUGAAAUCGUCAUCCACAAGGAAGAGGUCAGGGAAAGUGAAGGAGAUCAAACGGAUGUUAGUCUCCCUGCCACCAAUCUACAGACGGAGACAGCUAAGCAAAAGCAAGGGUCAGAAUCAUUGACGGAGCCAGAGAGUGUGACUCUAGACUCUGACGAGGGAAACCAGGAGGACAAUAACCCAGAAGAGAAUCCAGUUAUGAACUUCUUCAAAUCUCUAACGACUUCCAAAAUAACCAAAAAGGAAACAGCUGCUCCUGUUGCCAUAAAAGACCAGUCCCAGAAGGAGAACCAACCAGCAGCAACCACUACCGUCGCACAAGUAUCUGAGCCGCCUGCAGCGCCCAAAGGAAUGUCUAUCCCACCGCCACCUCCUCCAGAGCCACCAAAAAUGGAUAUCAAGGCAGAACCAGCUGCUAAACCUGUCAAGGCCACACCAAGAGAAGAAGCAAAAGCUGUUGCCAAGCAACCCCAGUCCUCCAAAGGAAAAUCAGCAACUCUAAGCAAAUUUUUCCGUUCAAAGACAAACAAGGAGUCCCCACCAAAGCCAGACAUUGAAGUAGACGUACAACAAGUUGUAGAAGUAGAGGAGACACCAGUGGAAGCUCCUGAGCCAGUUGUUUUAGAAGUCAAGAAGGUGGAUUCUUCAAAAGCUGGCACUUUGGAGGCUGCAGCGAAACCAGAACCGCCGCCGCCUGUGCAGGAAGCACAGAAAACUGCCUCAACAUCCUCCUUCUUUUCUCUCUUCAAGCCUAAAGCCGCUGAUCCCAAAAAGGCGAGUCCUGCCCCGGCUGCAGCCCCAGAGACAGUGAAAGCCAAGGAGGAACCCAAAGCAGCAGCCAAGUUAUCCGAGGCCGUGGUAGAUAAUAAACCUGCUUCAGUGGCCUCCCAGGCCGCAGGUGAUGCAGCCAAGGCGCCAAAGAAACUGGAGAAGAGGAACUCCAUCCAUCAGUUCUUUAAAAUUCUGGGCCAGAAGCGUAACUCGACAGAUGCCGGGAUCCAGACAGAGACGCUCGCUGUCGCUCCGGUACCCGAGAAGGUCAAAUGAAACCAAAAGCGAGAGUGAAGUUUCCCUGUACAGACUCCUUCUCUUUUUCUUGCCCUUACUCGGUUUUCAUGUGCCUCAUCUGUCUCAUUAUUCUUUAAACUCUUAUAGAAUUGCUUUAACUACAUUUUGAUUUUGUUAUUGUUCAUAAGUUACAAUACGCACGGAAUAGUGAGCGGAAAGGCAAAGGCAAGUAGUGAGAAAGACACACAGCAGGUAGUUGCACAAGUGGUGAUUUGAAAUGGUCCAUGGUGAGGUUGUUGAGAUAUUUACAGUAUAUACAGUACAUAUUGUGUUUGGACCCUGUGCCUUGACAAGUAUAGCAAAAUCAGUGUGAAAUCUUUUCUACAGACAUUUAAUGUAACUUCUCUCUGUUCUUGCACAUGAAACAGAAGGUAAAAGGCAUCGCUUUUAGCUUUGUGUUUGUCAAAAAAAAACAUUUAAAAAAGGUUCUAUUUUUUACAGUUCACACAAAAGAAAAUCACGCAGCUGUGGCCGUGCAGAGGUUCCCACGAAAUUGCAUCGCACUUAAAUCCAUAUGUGAUAUAUUAACAUUAACAGCUCUGAAAAGAGCAAAUAAGAAGAGCAUCUUAGUGUAACAAGAAGCACUUAGCAGUCAAGUAUCUGUAUCGAGGGUGAUGGGGAACUGGCUAUAUGCGUAAAAAAAUGCAUCUGAGAGAUGUGUCUUUGUGCUACGUUUUUACUAAUGACUCACAGUUGAUUAGUUUUACAUUUGAACUUUGUCUCAUGUAACUCAGUGGAAGUCUUGUAGCGUCAGUCAGCAAUUAACAUCACGCUUUUGGUGGCCUUGCUUGAUGUAUGCAUGUGUGUGCGUGUGUGUAACUUCAGCUAUCCUGAAGACAAUAAACCUGUUUAUCAUUCGUUGUAUCUUCAUGUGUGUACGCGGCAACUGAGAAACCCCGUGAAGAAUAACCGGCUGUUGCAUUCGGCAUCUGCCAAAAUAUGCACCUCAGUAAGUUUGGCAAAAAAAAAUAAAAAAUCACACAUCAAAUCUUAUAAUAAAUAUUUUAAUUCACACUAAACUAAACUCAUAAGGCGUGACACAUGAGUCCUACCUUGGGCGUCGGUGGAAAUACUGCCAGCCUUACUCACCCAUGGGUUUAUUUUGUUGGCUGAAAAACAAGUGACGGUGAUGACGGGCAGGGCCGUACAAACCAAAACUCACCUCAGAGCCGCCCGCCGUCCGCCCGCCCGCCUGAUGGACGGAGAGCCGUCUGCGGUCCGUCACUACCAAAUAUUACAUUCAGAGACACCUUAGAGAUAAAAAGAUGUUAAACGAGAUCUAAGGAAUUGUUUCAGGUAAAGCAAAGCCUCCCAUACUCUAUUUUCAUUUAUGAGGUAAUUCCAAUGAUGGAGGAUGUGUUUUAAAUAGUAUUAUGUCAUGAGUCGCGGCCCCCUUAAAGGCAUAACUCACGCUGCACCUUUAUUAUCAACGAAACGCACUCUUUUUGCGUUACCCUCUGUGAUGGUUGUGAUCAUUUUAAAUUGUGCAUCAAAGUAAUUGACAUGGCACUUAAGGGGAAACAGUGAGGUAUUGCCUGCACAGUUUAAUCCAUGUGGUCAAGUCCUCUCCUCUGGGGAUUGUUAAGAGGAAUAUGUGACUCUUUGCCAACUGUAUUGCUGUACAGUGUGAAGUUCACCACUAACUACCAUUCUCCUAAAAUAAAACACUGGACAGUACCCACAGUGCACCUCACCGCCGCUUCCUCAUGUUUCCACGCUUUUAUGGGAAAAUUCACUCUGUGAAAAACAAGUGCCAUUAAUGUAGCAGCUGCGAGUCCCUACAUGCACUGCGCCAGAAGCGCGAGUGUUAGUUUAAAGGGAAACCUUUUACCGUACAGUCUGGUUCACAGACGGGGACGAGCCGGGUGUCUCGCUUGAUAUGGAAACGGUUGCACGAGAUCUGCUUGACCCGCCGGGUUGCUGCGGUUCAUCCCGGGACAAUGGCCG